AAAUAGCCCCGAUAGCAGUGAAAAUCCUCCCGAUUUUUCUUCGGGAGAUUGUAACGGAUAGCGGGACAAACC
This 72-nucleotide small RNA is filed under the name Flavobacterium flevense. RNAcentral's name for it is "Flavo-1 RNA". It matches the Rfam family "Flavo-1 RNA". The record is from RNAcentral. Lineage: Bacteria; Pseudomonadati; Bacteroidota; Flavobacteriia; Flavobacteriales; Flavobacteriaceae.